UCUCUCUCUCUCUCUCCCUCUCUCUCUUUCUCUUUCUCUCUCGGGCGUUUCAUCUUCCGUUUCCUCUCUCUCUCACAGCUUUCAUCUUCUUGUUUGAUUUAUGUUUGUAUUUUGUUCUUCUUUUAAUGUUUUGGAGUUUCGUUUGCAUCACUCAUCUAUUCCGUUUAUUUGGGUUUUUUUUUUUUGUGCGUUUAGAUCUAGAUUGUUCUUUAGAGUAUAAUCUAAAACUGUUUAUUUGGUAUAUUUUUUGUUGUUUUUUCAUACUUUCAGAUGAACAUUAUUUUUUACGAUUUUUCAUUUCUUUUUUUCCUUUUAGAUCUGAACAUAUUUGUUUUUGUUUGAUUUUUUUUGUCGUGUUUUGUUCUUGUUUUUGUCUCGUUUUAUCUUGUUCUUAUUGUCUCCAAUUUUGUUGUUUGAAGUUUGAAAUUUUGAGAUCUGUACAACAACUAUUUGGUUUUUCACUUAUUUGGUUUUUCGGUUUUUUUUUUUUAAUUUUUUUAUCUGAUCGAAAUUUUUGGUUUGUUAUUUGGAUCUGUGAGUUUCUCGGUUGAAUCUAUUGUUUGUUGGGUGUCCCUCACAUCGCCGCUCACAUCCGCAGCAAAUGGCCACUCGUGGGAGCGCACGGCCACGCCGGAAGCACACAACAACAAAGCAGAAGAUGAAAUUUCAGAAGAUUGAAUUUGUAUAUGAUGCGUUAAAUUUUUUUGUUCGGUGUACUCUCUGUAAAUAAAGAUGUAAAUAUGCAAACAUAGUUUUUUUCUUUC
This is a long non-coding RNA of Carya illinoinensis, 764 nucleotides long. RefSeq lists it as uncharacterized. The record is from RefSeq and is a predicted model, not a curated record. Lineage: Eukaryota; Viridiplantae; Streptophyta; Magnoliopsida; Fagales; Juglandaceae. The transcript has 3 exons.